AUCGAACGCUGGCGGCAGGCCUAACACAUGCAAGUCGAGCGAGCGGCGGACGGGCGAGUAAUGUAUGGGGAUCUGCCUGACAGAGGGGGAUAACUACUGUAACCGGUGGCUAAUACCGCUUACUAUCGGAUGCACUCAGGUGGGUUUAGCUAGUAGCGGGGGUAAAGGCUAACCUAGGCGACGAUCGCUACCUGGUCUGAGAGGAUGAUCAGCCACACUGGGACUGAGACACGGCCCAGACUCCUACGGGAGGCAGCAGUAGGGAAUAUUGGACAAUGGGCGAAAGCCUGAUCCAGCCAUGCCGCGUGUAUGAAGAAGGCCUUCGGAUUGUAAAGUACUUUCAGUGAGGAGGCGUUACUCGCAGAAGAAGCACCGGCUAACUCCGUGCCAGCAGCCGCGGUAAUAC
Molecule: ribosomal RNA, 406 nt
Filed under: uncultured bacterium
Lineage: Bacteria
Description: partial 16S ribosomal RNA
Rfam family: Bacterial small subunit ribosomal RNA
Source: RNAcentral